GAAUGUGGCCAUACCGGUUUAUUAAAGCCUGAUGUCAUCUGUCAUCUGACAUCAGAAGCUCAACAAAGUUGGGCCUGGUUAGUACUUGGAUGGGAGAUCACUGAAUACCAGAUUCCACAGAGA
RNAcentral lists this ribosomal RNA (123 nucleotides) under Periophthalmus magnuspinnatus. Lineage: Eukaryota; Metazoa; Chordata; Actinopteri; Gobiiformes; Gobiidae. The record is from RNAcentral.